AUCGCUUCUCGGCCUUUUGGCUAAGAUCAAGUGUAGAUCUGUUCACGUCAGCGUAAUCAAAAUAUAAGGUAUUACAGUUUAUAUUUCAAAAAGCAACUCUGAUUGUUUAUUAUACACAUUGUACUUUAUAAAACUAUU
Molecule: small nuclear RNA, 138 nt
Filed under: Suricata suricatta (meerkat)
Lineage: Eukaryota; Metazoa; Chordata; Mammalia; Carnivora; Herpestidae
Description: U2 spliceosomal RNA (ENSSSUG00005005106.1)
Rfam family: U2 spliceosomal RNA
About the family: U2 is a small nuclear RNA (snRNA) component of the spliceosome (involved in pre-mRNA splicing).
Source: RNAcentral